This 852-nucleotide ribosomal RNA is filed under the name uncultured bacterium. RNAcentral's name for it is "SSU rRNA". It matches the Rfam family "Bacterial small subunit ribosomal RNA", at positions 524 to 1381 of the family's 1533-position model. The record is from RNAcentral.
UACGUAGGGUGCAAGCGUUAAUCGGAAUUACUGGGCGUAAAGCGUGCGCAGGCGGUUUUGUAAGACAGAGGUGAAAUCCCCGGGCUCAACCUGGGAACUGCCUUUGUGACUGCCCAGCUGGAGUACUGCAGAGGGGGAUGGAAUUCCGCGUGUAGCGGUGAAAUGCGUAGAUAUGCGGAGGAACACCGAUGGCGAAGGCGACCCCCUGGACCUGUACUGACGCUCAUGCGCGAAAGCGUGGGGAGCAAACAGGAUUAGAUACCCUGGUAGUCCACGCCCUAAACGAUGUCAACUGGUAGUUGGGGCUUAAGUGACUCAGUUUCGAAGCUAACGGGCGUAGUUCACCGGCUGGGGAAUACCGGCGCAAGGUUGAAACUCAAAAGAAUUGACCGGAACCCGCACAAGCGGCGGAUGAUGUGGUUUAAUUCGACGCGACGCGAAAAACCUUACCCACCCAUGUCAGGUACGGAACAGGCCAGAGAGGGUUUCGUCCUGGAAAGAGAGCCGGAACACAGAUGGCGCAUGUCAGUCGUCAGCUCGAGUCGUGAGAUGAAGGGCUAAGUCGCGCACCGAGCGCAACCCUUGCCAUCAGCAGGUAAGAAAGGGCACUCUAAGGGGACUGCCGGUGACAAACCGGAGGAAGGUGGGGAUGACGUCAAGUCCUCAUGGCCCUUAUAGGCGGGGCUACACACGUCAUACAAUGGCUGGUACAGAGGGUUGCCAACCCGCGAGGGGGAGCCAAUCCCAUAAAGCCAGUCGUAGUCCGGAUCGCAGUCUGCAACUCGACUGCGUGAAGUCGGAAUCGCUAGUAAUCGCGGAUCAGAAUGUCGCGGUGAAUACGUUCCCGGGUCU